AACGAACGCUGGCGGCAUGCCUAACACAUGCAAGUCGAACGAGACCUUCGGGUCUAUUGGCGCACGGGUUCGUAACGCGUGGGAACCUUCCCUUAUGUUCGGAAUAACUCCCCGAAAGGGGUGCUAAUACCGGAUAAUGUCUUCUGCCCAAAGAUUUAUCGCCUUUGGAUGGUCCCGCGUUGGAUUAGCUAGUUGUUAGGGUAAAAGCAUACCAAGGCGACGAUCGAUAGCUGGGCUGAGAGGAUGAUCAGCCACACUGGGAGUGAGACACGGCCCAGAAUCUUACGGGAGGGAGGAGUGGGGAAUAGUGGAAAAUGGGCGAAAGGAUGAUGCAGCAAUGCCGGGUGAGUGAUGAAGGCAUUAGGGUUGUAAAGCUCUUUUAACCGGGAUGAUAAUGACAGUACCGGGAGAAUAAGCCCCGGCUAACUCCGUG
This 433-nucleotide ribosomal RNA is filed under the name uncultured bacterium. Its description in RNAcentral is "partial 16S ribosomal RNA". It matches the Rfam family "Bacterial small subunit ribosomal RNA", at positions 29 to 507 of the family's 1533-position model. The record is from RNAcentral.